CUACGGGUUGCUGCAGUGAGGAAUAUUGCACAAUGGGGGGAACCCUGAUGCAGCAACGCCGCGUGGAGGAUGACGCAUUUCGGUGUGUAAACUCCUUUUAUAUGUCAAGAAAAUGACGGUAGCAUAUGAAUAAGCACCGGCUAACUCCGUGCCAGCAGCCGCGGUAAUACGGAGGGUGCAAGCGUUACUCGGAAUGCACUGGGCGUAAAGGACGCGUAGGCGGGUUGGAAAGUCAGGUGUGAAAUCCUACAGCUUAACUGUAGAACUGCACUUGAAACUUCUAAUCUAGAGUAUGGGAGGGGGAGAUGGAAUUAGUGGUGUAGGGGUAAAAUCCGUAGAUAUCACUAGGAAUACCUAAAGCGAAGGCGAUCUCCUGGAACAUUACUGACGCUAAGGCGUGAAAGCGUGGGGAGCAAACAGGAUUAGAUACCCGUGUAGUC
This 440-nucleotide ribosomal RNA is filed under the name uncultured bacterium. RNAcentral's name for it is "partial 16S ribosomal RNA". It matches the Rfam family "Bacterial small subunit ribosomal RNA", at positions 339 to 795 of the family's 1533-position model. The record is from RNAcentral.